AGAGUUUGAUCCUGGCUCAGGAUGAACGCUAGCGGCAGGCUUAACACAUGCAAGUCGAGGGGUAGAGGUUGCUUGCAACCUUGAGACCGGCGCACGGGUGCGUAACGCGUAUGCAACCUACCUUUUACAGAGGGAUAGCCCAGAGAAAUUUGGAUUAAUACCUCAUAGUAUAUGUUUUUCGCAUGUUAGACAUAUUAAAGUUCCAACGGUAAAAGAUGGGCAUGCGUCCUAUUAGCUAGAUGGUAAGGUAACGGCUUACCAUGGCAACGAUAGGUAGGGGUCCUGAGAGGGAGAUCCCCCACACUGGUACUGAGACACGGACCAGACUCCUACGGGAGGCAGCAGUGAGGAAUAUUGGACAAUGGGCGCAAGCCUGAUCCAGCCAUGCCGCGUGCAGGAAGAAGCAUCUAUGGUGUGUAAACUGCUUUUGUACGGGAAGAAACACUCCUUCGUGAAGGAGCUUGACGGUACCGUAAGAAUAAGGAUCGGCUAACUCCGUGCCAGCAGCCGCGGUAAUACGGAGGAUCCAAGCGUUAUCCGGAAUCAUUGGGUUUAAAGGGUCCGUAGGCGGUUUGGUAAGUCAGUGGUGAAAGCCCGCAGCUCAACUGUGGAACGGCCAUUGAUACUGCCAGACUUGAAUUACAAGGAAGUAACUAGAAUAUGUAGUGUAGCGGUGAAAUGCUUAGAUAUUACAUGGAAUACCAAUUGCGAAGGCAGGUUACUACUUGUGGAUUGACGCUGAUGGACGAAAGCGUGGGGAGCGAACAGGAUUAGAUACCCUGGUAGUCCACGCCGUAAACGAUGGAUACUAGCUGUUGGGGGUAACUUCAGUGGCUAAGCGAAAGUGAUAAGUAUCCCACCUGGGGAGUACGUUCGCAAGAAUGAAACUCAAAGGAAUUGACGA
RNAcentral lists this ribosomal RNA (904 nucleotides) under uncultured Bacteroidota bacterium. RNAcentral describes it as "bacterial SSU rRNA". It matches the Rfam family "Bacterial small subunit ribosomal RNA", at positions 8 to 916 of the family's 1533-position model. Lineage: Bacteria; Pseudomonadati; Bacteroidota. The record is from RNAcentral.